GAAUGAAUGAAUUAGUAAAGGAAUGGACUGAAGUCUCUGGAGCACACUUCUACCAAUGGAAUGCCUCUCUAAAGGAAAUGGAACUGACUUUAGGGUUGGUGCCUGUGGAAGAUUCUCCCCUAUCUCUUCUUCCUAUUGAUUCACGGAACCUCCAUCCCUGCCCAAUACUGCAGCUGGAAUAGGUUGAAUAAUGGCCACCCAAAGAUAUCCCUGGAACCUGAAAAUGUUGCCUAAUUUGGAUAAAGGGUCUUUACAGAUAUGAUUAAGUUAAGGAUCUUGAGAUGGAGAAGUUACCCUGGAUUAUCUGGCUCUUGCCAUAUGCCAUUUCAGGUAGAAGCUUCCAUUCCAGCAAAUAAAGGGAAACUGAAAAAGAGCUAUGCCAAACCAAAUUCUUAGUCAACCACAUCAUGGACUGAGAAGAUGUGAAAAUCAUGUGACAAAGAUUCUAAAUGGGUGGCAAGCUCAAGUGCCUACUAUGAGUGAAGCUGGCAGGGCAGGGACUGAGGUGAACUGGAGUGAGGUGUGAGGUGAACUAGGUGCCCAUCUUUCCAAUGGGGGAGCAGCCU
Non-coding RNA from Ceratotherium simum simum (southern white rhinoceros), 566 nucleotides. The record is from RefSeq and is a predicted model, not a curated record. Lineage: Eukaryota; Metazoa; Chordata; Mammalia; Perissodactyla; Rhinocerotidae.